AAUUCCUCAGCAGUUUACAAGGGGAAUUUAUUUAUCAGUUAUUAUCCAUGUACAGAUCAGACUGCCCUAUGGACAGAUCUAUGUAAGUAAGUUUAAAAAGAAAAACAACAAAAAAAACACAAAAAGCAUUUUAUUCCUUUAGUCAUAGACCAAGGUUUUGCAUAGUCACAUACCCAUUGUCAGGCUCCUUACUCAACACUUAUUUAAUGUAGUGGAGGCUAGUCACAAAGAGAAGUCUGGCUUCAGGUAAAAUACUUGAAAGGGUUUGGCUUGUGUGUAUAUAUUUUAUAUAUAUAGUACUUUUCUAUUCAGUAUUUAUUUGUUGGAUUUCAUACUUUUUUCCCUACAAUUCUAAUAAAACUUAUGAGACAAAUUUCUGCAAGUCCCUCACGCUGGUGUAUGUCCAGAGUAAUGGGAACAGGGAUAAGGCAAUCAACCCCUCAUGACAGCUCAAAGCAUGCUAUUGAGAUCUUCCAAGAAAGGUUUUCUUCCUCAUCCUCCAGUGCAGCUCUGCAGGCAGCACAGCAAGUCAUACCCAGGAAUCACUGAGCUAUCACUCGCCUCAAGUGACCAGAGUACUGGUCUGACCAACAGUCUCACAGCUCUCUAUGUUUUCACCAACCGAGUGGAACAACUCAGCUGCAGCACGGCACAGGACAAACCCACCCAGCUCACGUUAGGACAGCGACAACCCUGUCUGCAGAGGUGCAAGACUUACCCACCAACACCACCACGUCCCACCAUCACUGAACAGCGCAUCUUCAAGCCAAACUAAGCCAGUACUUUAAAUCUUUGCUUUAAAAAAGCAGAACACGCAAAUGCUUGCAUCAUAAGCCAGCUGAUACAUUCUCAGACCAACAUGUCUUCUGUUGAGCUUUUUACUUCGUAAGGAAGCUGCCACAGCAUUAAUUGCUCUGGAUUUCUUGAAACGCUUUCCUGCUCAUUACUCGCACUGCCUCUGAGCACGUUACCUCACCAGCUGCUGGAGGAAGCAUGCUAUGCCUUAUGAAGCAGAUGUACAGAUGUAGAGUGAAACUGCAUUUUACAUUCCAAAUGAUGAGGUUUAAGAACUGGUCCUUCUCAAUGCCAACCGAACAGCUGCAAAAUGCUGGUGGACAUGUUUUGGUUGAAUUUCGUUUCCCGUUUCUCUCCCUCCCCUCACCUUCUCCUAACCCAGAAUAUAAAAGUAAAAACAGCUUUACAAAGGAUGGUGCAAUGUAAAUAGACAUAUGUGCAAGUAGAGUGCAACAAAAGUCAAUGAGAAGAUACACUUAUUUCCAAAAAAAAAAAAAAAAAAAAAGAAAGAAAAAAAAGAGCUUGACAUGUUGGGAUACCCUGA
This 1339-nucleotide long non-coding RNA is filed under the name Anas platyrhynchos (mallard). RNAcentral describes it as "lncRNA (ENSAPLG00020016029.1)". The record is from RNAcentral. Lineage: Eukaryota; Metazoa; Chordata; Aves; Anseriformes; Anatidae.